Molecule: ribosomal RNA, 305 nt
Filed under: uncultured bacterium
Lineage: Bacteria
Description: partial 16S ribosomal RNA
Rfam family: Bacterial small subunit ribosomal RNA
Source: RNAcentral
ACAGCAGCCGCCGCGGUAACACGUAGGGUGCGAGCGCUAAUCGGAAUUACUGGGCGUAAAGCGUGCGCAGGCGGUUAUAUAAGACAGAUGUGAAAUCCCCGGGCUCAACCUGGGACCUGCAUUUGUGACUGUAUAGCUAGAGUACGGUAGAGGGGGAUGGAAUUCCGCGUGUAGCAGUGAAAUGCGUAGAUAUGCGGAGGAACACCGAUGGCGAAGGCAAUCCCCUGGACCUGUACUGACGCUCAUGCACGGAAGCGUGGGGAGCAAACAGGAUUAGAUACCCGCGUAGUCCCUGUCUCUUAUAC